UCUCUUACAGGCAAUCGGUAAAUUGAUCUCCCUGUGCAAAAGCAGGGAUAAUAACAUAAGACGAGAAGUCCCUGUGGAACUUUAAAACCAGCAGCCACCCCAAAACACAUAAACCCCCACUGGGCUCACUGACAGCAUUGGGAGCUUGGCCUGCGUUUUUCGGUUGGGGCGACCUUGGAGAAAAACAAAUCCUCCAAAAAUUGGACCAUACAUCCAGACUGAGAGCAACUCCUCAACGUGCUAAUAGCAUCCAGACCCAAUAUAAUUGAUCAAUGGACCAAGCUACCCCAGGGAUAACAGCGCAAUCCCCUCCGAGAGUCCAUAUCGACGAGGGGGUUUACGACCUCGAUGUUGGAUCAGGACAUCCUAGUGGCUG
Molecule: ribosomal RNA, 376 nt
Filed under: Regulus ignicapilla (Firecrest)
Lineage: Eukaryota; Metazoa; Chordata; Aves; Passeriformes; Regulidae
Description: partial 16S ribosomal RNA
Rfam family: Bacterial large subunit ribosomal RNA
Source: RNAcentral